This 305-nucleotide ribosomal RNA is filed under the name uncultured bacterium. Its description in RNAcentral is "bacterial SSU rRNA". It matches the Rfam family "Bacterial small subunit ribosomal RNA", at positions 28 to 334 of the family's 1533-position model. The record is from RNAcentral.
GACGAACGCUGGCGGCGUGCUUAACACAUGCAAGUCGAACGGAAAGGCCCUAGCUUGCUGGGGUACUCGAGUGGCGAACGGGUGAGUAACACGUGGGUGAUCUGCCUUGCACCCUGGGAUAAGCUUGGGAAACUGGGUCUAAUACCGGAUAGGAACCGUCUUUAGUGUGGUGGUUGGAAAGUUUUUCGGUGCAAGAUGAGCUCGCGGCCUAUCAGCUUGUUGGUGGGGUAAUGGCCUACCAAGGCGUCGACGGGUAGCCGGCCUGAGAGGGUGUACGGCCACAUUGGGACUGAGAUACGGCCCAG